This 254-nucleotide ribosomal RNA is filed under the name uncultured bacterium. RNAcentral's name for it is "partial 16S ribosomal RNA". It matches the Rfam family "Bacterial small subunit ribosomal RNA", at positions 524 to 776 of the family's 1533-position model. The record is from RNAcentral.
UACGUAGGGUGCGAGCGUUGUCCGGAAUUAUUGGGCGUAAAGGGCUCGUAGGCGGUUUGUCGCGUCGGGAGUGAAAUCCACUGGCUUAACUGGUGGCUUGCUUUCGAUACGGGCAGACUGGAGGUAUGCAGGGGAGAACGGAAUUCCUGGUGUAGCGGUGAAAUGCGUACGAUAUCAGGAGGAACACCGGUGGCGAAGGCGGUUCUCUGGGCAUGUCCUGACGCUGAGGAGCGAAAGUGUGGGGAGCGAACAGG